Dermacentor andersoni is the source of this 4079-nucleotide non-coding RNA. The record is from RefSeq and is a predicted model, not a curated record. Lineage: Eukaryota; Metazoa; Arthropoda; Arachnida; Ixodida; Ixodidae.
UAUAAACGUCUGAUAAAAGAACAAUUGUAUGUCGCUGAGAGUAAAAGUGUUUUGUAAUCUUUUAACGCAAGAGAAGUUGAAGCGCGCUUGAAUGUAAACACAAAUAUUUUAAUUUUUCGAGUCAUAGCCACACACGUGCCAAUUCCGCAUCCAAUCCAUUUUGCUACGCACACUUAAGAUGGCGGCUACGUGAAAACAGCUGAUCGGUUCUGUGGGCCGCUCUUGGUGUAUUUUUGUCCGUAACGCUGCCUGAUGAGAUGAAAUCUCGGCGUACGAGGUACUUUCGCCCGAGAAGAAUUCUUGAAGCUGUGAACAUCAUGAAGACUGUGAAAGCGUAGUGCUCGGAUACGGAAGAAUCGAUGAAGGUUGGAAGGCAUCUCAACAGAUAGCUGUGGUACACUCCCCCGUGCGGGCGGUACAGAUACUCCGCCAACAGCCGCUGGAGGAUGCGGCCUGCAGGGCAACCGCCGAGUAUGCGCGGCAGGGGCAGCUGGCUGAGGCAGUGAACGCGGAGGCCGCCAGUUUCCACCAGCUGCUGCUGCAGCAAAAUAGGCAGGUACGUACAACUUGGCCAGGUCAUUUUUUAAAGAGGUGAUUAGUGCGCAUGGUAAUGUACAUUACAACCAUAUUACACAUCAGAGGCAUCUGUAGUCAUUUGGCUCAGUGGUUCAUGCACUUUAAUGUACAUUACAACCAUCAUAUUACACAUCAGAGGCAUCUGUAGUCAUUUGGCUUAUUGGUUCAUGCACGUUUAUACAUCUCCUUUGAGGUGUUCUUUAACACAUAGCAACUUACAAAACAUUUCCAUGGUUGCAUGUAUCACCACAGCAUGAUCAUCAUUUGUUUAACAAUUUAACUAGUCACGAAUACUGUCUUCUGACAGGCAGAGGCAGCUUGGUAGGAUUUGCUACGUUUCACAUGUUUUAAACAUAACAGACCAUAUACGUUUGCACGGCCAUUUCUCAUGUCAUAGGUAAAUGAUCUCGCUGCCCUCAAGAGUAACCUUGCUGAACCUGUAGCACUUGCAAACAGUGCGAAUAAACGUUUACAUUGCAUAACCUGCAGCUGAAGUGAGUAAAUUUGUUUCGCAGCAUCAUCAGCAGUUGGUGGAGGAGCUGAGGGCGGCCCGGGUGGUGCAGCAGCAGCUGGCAGCAGAGAUGCGUGGUUUGAGAGCGGCCACCGGCCUCAUCGCGACAACACUGCGCCAGCUCCUGGCUCGCCUCUGCGAGCAUCCUCAGCCAUGAGGGACAGUCCCCCCCCCCCCCCCAUGUCAUCCUUUAGUACUAAUAGGUACAAGUGUUGCCCAUCUUUCCGUUCAAAUCACCGCUGCAGCAUUUGGUGGUGGUGCCCAUACCUCCUCGAAAGCUGUUGUGGCGAGUUGUAGCCAGUCUUGUGAAAUUAUGUGCAGGUCAUGUGCGACCAUGGCAGCGAAAGCUGAUAGUGCUGUGAUGUCACUUUGAAACACAAAUGCGUGUUUUUUUUUUUUUUUGUAUGUAGCACUAAAGGAUGAUAUGACUGUUUUCCCUACAUUUCUGUACCUAAUCAUUUUUUUCCAAGGUAAUUUCUUUUCAUGUGUAUUUUCACUUGCAGUGCAAGUUUGCCCAAGUGAGACGUUAUAAAUUAUAUGUAGAAUGUUUGCCAUAUUUCCGUUAGGUGUUGUUCACUUCUGUUUUGCUGUUACUGAUAUGUUUCAAUGCGCACCGUUUUUCCAAGGAAGAUAUACACUAUGCAAUCACUUUUACAGCAACUUCGACAUUGUCUCGCACACAUACAGGUGCACUUAACUACAAUGCUGUGAUAACUGGAAAUGAAUUUUCAUGCCAUAUGUAUGUCAUGUUUGCAACGUCAAACUUUGCAACGCCUACGCAAUGCAAAGUAGCCGAAUUUGAAUUUUUUUAACACCAAGCGCCUGUUACUUGUGAUAGUUAUUGUGAUAUUUCAGGUGUCCUUACCUAUGAUAGCAGUACAAUCUAGUCCCCAUUGUAGUUGAGCACAGUUUGUGACAUACAUAAUGGAGCCAUCGAUGUGGCCACUAUUUUGACAUUCGCUGCCAGGCUGCUCUUGCAGCCGUUAUAUGAAAUACCGUUGAAGUGCCAAACGUUUUCUCACUUGUCCUUCCUUAAAAGCAUGUGAUGGUUGUUUUAUAUUGUGAUCUUAUUACGGCACUAGUCAUUGAACUAUUUCGUGCUACAAACACGCUGACUACACAAUAGACAAGACAUCUUUCUUGCUGUUAAGUUGCUGAAUGAAGAUAAAUGGUUGUGUGCGAGUUCAAAAAAACAUCAUAAUGCUCGUGUCAUAUUUAUGCAGUUUAACAUCUGCCAACUGGGUAGUGUACUGGGUCCCAUGUAGUGAACAUCACACGGCUAUUUUGGCGCCAUGAAGUCAUGCUCUGUGUGCUUGUCUGUCAUUUGCUUUGAUGAAAGAUGGCAUUGAAGAUGGGUCACAUGGUUUUAUUUACAAUGCAGAUAUAAAUAAACAAUCUUAAACAAUGCAAGUGGCACUUGAAAUGAAUAUUUACAAUGUGUGUUCCUUCAAUUUCAGAACUAUUUACAUAUGUACACUCUCCCAAGGGAGAAUAACGCGCUUGACAUGCCAGGCGAUUGUUUUCGGCAUAACUUGGCCUUCUGUCAAGGAACUGUGCGGUGGCUGUGUGGCAAAAUAGCGCAGGACCUACAAGGUGCGUGAGAACAGUACACAUGGUGGAGCGAGAAGUGUUGUGCUUGACAGCAGCCCAAAUAGGAAGGGAGGAGACGAAGACCAGCCUCCCAUACACAGUGCAGAUGGCGGUGACAGUGUCGGUGAUGACAGAAGCAACAGCAGCAGCAGCAAAUCAUUUGGCAAACCACAGCUGCCCAGAGAAGUGGCUACAGCAUUCUGCUGAUGAACACAAAGUGUUCUAUCCACAGGUACUAAAUGAAAGGCUCUCAUGUAGUGUCACAUUGGAAUGAUGCAAUCAUCUCCGGUAGUAACAGCUCACUGGCAGAGGACACGUGAAAACGCUGGUUAUAUUUGAGCAGAUUCGAUAAAGAAACAGCACGCUAUCCACUAAUUGCACACAUUUCUUCACAUUGGUUCCUGCUCUCUAUUAGGUGUGUAGACAGCAGUAAUAAACAUCUGCCUGCAGUGUCAGGCACGUGUUUAUUUAUUUAUUUAUUCAUUUAUUUAUUCAUUUCCUCAAAGGUCUCUGUUGAGACAUUACAUGAGGGAGUGGGGAGUUAGUGACAAAGGCAGAUACUACAAAUUACAAAGGGAUAUUUUCGAUGAGUCGCUUGAAUGCAAGUGGGUCGAUGAUAGUGGCAACUUCGGCAGGCAGGCCAUUCCAGUCUCGAGUUGUGCGCAGAAAAAAUGAUUGCUGAAAAGUAACGGUAUGGGCUUGUGGGGGAUAUACUGUAUUAGAGUGACUGGUGCGGGCAAUGCGAUGUGCUCUUUUUAUGUACGGGUUGUCAAAAGGCAAGGAAUGAAAGAAUUUACGAAAAAGCUUAAGACGGGCUAUUCUACGGCGUGAGGCUAGAGAGGGUAGGUUUAUUUGGGCUUUUAGUGCCGAGAUACUUGAAUUAUAUGAAUAAGUUGACAGGAUAAAUCGUGUCGCGCGGUUCUGAAUCGACUCGAGGGCAUUAAUAAGGUUAUUGUGGUGGGGGUCAAAAAUAGCUUCGGCAUACUCAAGCUUGGGCCGCACAAUGGUUAGAAAAGCAAGUUGUUUAAUAGAGGGAGGAGCUAGGUAAAGGUUACGGCGUAGAUAACCUAGAGUACGAUUAGCAGAGUUUAUUAUGUGGUUAACAUGACAGGUCCAAGUUAAGUCACGCGAGAUGUACACACCAAGAUAUUUGAAUGAAUCCGUUGUUGCAAUCUGCGUGUUAUUGAUGCUAUAAUUAGGGAUAUCGUAAUUACGACGACGAUGAAUAGACAUUAACACGGUUUUAGCUACAUUUAAUGACAUGAGCCAAGUGGUACACCAGUUUUGUAUGAGCGAUAGGUCAUUUUGUAACGCCAAAUGGUCGCUGGGGUUAGUAACUGCUCGGUAAAUCACACAAUCAUCAGCGAAGAGUCGGAUAUGAGAAGAAAUAUUACAAGGUAGG